This 492-nucleotide ribosomal RNA is filed under the name uncultured bacterium. RNAcentral describes it as "partial 16S ribosomal RNA". It matches the Rfam family "Bacterial small subunit ribosomal RNA", at positions 29 to 507 of the family's 1533-position model. The record is from RNAcentral.
AGUGAACGCUGGCGGUAGGCCUAACACAUGCAAGUCGAACGGCAGCACAGUAAGAGCUUGCUCUUACGGGUGGCGAGUGGCGGACGGGUGAGGAAUACAUCGGAAUCUACUUUUUCGUGGGGGAUAACGUAGGGAAACUUACGCUAAUACCGCAUACGACCUACGGGUGAAAGCAGGGGAUCUUCGGACCUUGCGCGAUUGAAUGAGCCGCUGUCGGAUUAGCUAGUUGGCGGGGUAAAGGCCCACCAAGGCGACGAUCCGUAGCUGGUCUGAGAGGAUGAUCAGCCACACUGGAACUGAGACACGGUCCAGACUCCUACGGGAGGCAGCAGUGGGGAAUAGUGGACAAUGGGCGCAAGCCUGAUCCAGCCAUACCGCGUGGGUGAAGAAGGCCUUCGGGUUGUAAAGCCCUUUUGUUGGGAAAGAAAAGCAGCAGGUUAAUACCCCGCUGUUCUGACGGUACCCAAAGAAGAAGCACCGGCUAACUUCGUG